Molecule: ribosomal RNA, 448 nt
Filed under: Entamoeba terrapinae
Lineage: Eukaryota; Evosea; Mastigamoebida; Endamoebidae
Description: partial small subunit ribosomal RNA
Rfam family: Eukaryotic small subunit ribosomal RNA
Source: RNAcentral
AUUAAUUAAUCAUCCAUGAGGUGAUUAUAUUCAGCAAUGGAUACGUGAUCACACGAUUACUUAAAGGGACACAUUUCAAUUGUUUUUUAUUAAUCGAGUGUUAAAGUAUUACUUUAACUUCUUUUAAUGGAAAAAAAAGAAAAAGGAAGCAUUCAGCAAUAACAGGUCUGUGAUGCCCUUAGACAUCUUGGGCUGCACGCGCGCUACAAUGAAGUUACUAGAGAGCAAUUUAUUGAGAUAUCGUAUUGAAUGAGACUCUGUUUCAUUUGAUAUGUAAUAUAGCAAUGUACCGAUAAUUAAAAUUGGAGGAAAACUCAAAAGAACGUACUUGACCGGGAUAAAUGAUUGGAAUUAUUUGUUUUGAACGAGGAAUUCCUUGUAAUAUCGUGUCAUCAACGCGAGAUGAAUACGUCCCUGCCCUUUGUACACACCGCCCGUCGCUCCUACC